UCCCGGCGCGGUGCGCGGGGGUCUGCGGGGCCUGCGGGGCCCCUGGGGCGGACGCGGCGGGGCGCACGGUGCCGUUCCGGUACGGCGCGUGGGGGG
Molecule: transfer RNA, 96 nt
Filed under: Streptomyces spectabilis
Lineage: Bacteria; Bacillati; Actinomycetota; Actinomycetes; Kitasatosporales; Streptomycetaceae
Description: tRNA-Arg
Source: RNAcentral